CGAUUUCGGGGUGAAAUGGGGCGAAAACUGAAAUAGUGCAUUUGCGGAGCUAUAAAUAUUGAAAUUAGGUGAAAAAGUGGGAAAAAUUAAAAAGCAGUUUGAGGUAAAUAAUUGAGUUUUUCGCUAUUAGCAACGUGACUUUCUUAAAAUGUCAUUUUUAAGAGGGUGUUUAGUGUUUUUUCGGAUUUUUAUUUUAUUAAACGGUUUCAAAGCUGACAACCAAACACACAUCUACGCAAACUGAAACUUAUUUUGCUAGUGUGAAACUGGCUUCAUAUUCGGGUUUCUUCGUAAAUUCGCGGAGCUGGUUUGGGGAGCUGUCUUCACACAAAUGUGGACGUAACAAUGACAACAGUGUUGUUUUGUCACUCAUCGUUCAACGUGUUACCGGAAUUCGUUAGUGAGUCAAUUCCUGGUGUUGAGCGCCGACCAAAAAGAUAAGUAUCUCUUCUUUUGUUAAUAUAACCUCAUCUUUUUGAUUGGUGUUUCUUUCUAUUUUAAAGGCAUUGGUCUCUGGGCUGGAGUGACGGAUUUUUGAUUUCUACUACUCAAGCGAACUUUAGUCAUGGCUGGUUAUCGCAAAUAUUCCUGCAAAUACCCCGGAUGCACCAGUGGUUAUGUUCCCAACAAAGGACAGUCCAAUAAGCAUUUCUUCACCUUCCCUAAGAAUCCAAAGCUUCAAGAAUUGUGGAGGAAUGCCUGCAAAAUUGAGGAUCCUGUAAGUUGAAAAUUUUGGCGUUUUCUCUAUUUAGGGUAUUUCAGAAUUUACUUUUAAGUUUCUUAUUUGCGCUCGAGUGUGUCAGUGCACUGCAUGUACCUCCUCGUGGUCGUAGCGUGGGCAACUGUUUGCUGACAGACAAGGUAAAAGUCAUUGCAAAGCAGACCUUAUUUUGUUUUAAGUCUCGAGCAGACAGGCAAAACAUGCCAACACUGACUGAUUUAAUUUUUUGAUAACUUUUGUAUAAUUAAGAAAUAAUACAAUACUUUAAUUUUUUGAAAAAUUUAAUUUGUUAUGUUACUCAAGUGUACAAUAAAAAUGUUAACAAAG
Long non-coding RNA from Tribolium castaneum (red flour beetle), 1048 nucleotides. RefSeq lists it as uncharacterized. The record is from RefSeq and is a predicted model, not a curated record. The transcript is spliced from 2 exons. Lineage: Eukaryota; Metazoa; Arthropoda; Insecta; Coleoptera; Tenebrionidae.